UACGUAGGAGGCAAGCGUUGUCCGGAAUUACUGGGCGUAAAGCGCGUGUAGGUGGUGGGACAAGUCUGCUGUGAAAGCGCCUGGCUUAACCGGGCGAGGUCGGCGGAAACUGUCGCACUCGAGGACGGCAGAGGGGGGUAGAAUUCCACGUGUAGCAGUGAAAUGCGUAGAGAUGUGGAGGAAUACCGAUGGCGAAGGCAGCCCCCUGGGCCAAUACUGACGCUCAUGCACGAAAGCGUGGGGAGCAAACAGG
Molecule: ribosomal RNA, 253 nt
Filed under: uncultured bacterium
Lineage: Bacteria
Description: partial 16S ribosomal RNA
Rfam family: Bacterial small subunit ribosomal RNA
Source: RNAcentral